Molecule: ribosomal RNA, 442 nt
Filed under: uncultured bacterium
Lineage: Bacteria
Description: bacterial SSU rRNA
Rfam family: Bacterial small subunit ribosomal RNA
Source: RNAcentral
AACGCGAAGAACCUUACCUACUCUUGACAUCCUCGGAAUCCAGCAGAAAUGAUGGAGUGCCUUCGGGAACCGAGAGACAGGUGCUGCAUGGCUGUCGUCAGCUCGUGUCGUGAGAUGUUGGGUUAAGUCCCGUAACGAGCGCAACCCUUAUUCUUAGUUGCCAACAGGUAAAGCUGGGAACUCUAAGGAGACUGCCGGUGAUAAGCCGGAGGAAGGUGGGGACGACGUCAAGUCAUCAUGGCCCUUACGAGUAGGGCUACACACGUGCUACAAUGGGCGGUACAAAGGGAAGCGAAGCCGUGAGGUGAAGCGAAUCUCAAGAAAGCCGCUCGUAGUCCGGAUUGGAGUCUGCAACUCGACUCCAUGAAGUUGGAAUCGCUAGUAAUCGCGGAUCAGAACGCCGCGGUGAAUACGUUCCCGGGCCUUGUACACACCGAGUAUA